UAACGAAAAUUUCGAGUGUUACAGGUGUAAUUAAUUAAUUAUUAAAUUAUUGUCUCAAUAAGCUAGAUAAAGAUAGAGAAUCAGUAUUAGUAAAUUAGUUGAGAAGCUGCUGAAAGAAUUUACGUUACCAUUACCAUACGUUAUCAUGACUGAUCUGAUGGCUGCUAAAAGAUCUAUCCAGAUAUGCUUGACACCUGUAAAAACAGCACAACAGUUGCACAUGACCGACUAGUCAGGCGGUCAGUUGAGGCUCCGCCCAGGGGUCAGAAGUGAUUGUAUGCUGAACUGAGGCGUGAUCUGAUUGGAUUGCGCAUAGACUCCUUUUGCGCUGAUUGGCUGAUACGCAUGUGUCCUAGUAGCGCUGGUUAUAAUAAAGCGUCGCGCAGCUCCAGUGCAGGCAUCUCCGGCAGCGGGUACAUAACUGGUAAGCGCAAAGAAGCUACUUCUAUUUUUAUUUUAUAAUAAUCCUGCUUUUUUAGUUUGUUCGUGGUUUAUAUAAUUAAACAACUCGUAUGUAAAUAACACAUUCAGCAAACAGGAGUACAGUUUAAUCCCCCAUGGCCUGUUGUUUUUAAUGUAAUCUGAUGUCCAAGUAUGUUUAUAGGAUAUUACUACACCACUAACAAAAAUAUACUAUAGCAAACAUUAU
This is a long non-coding RNA of Carassius gibelio (silver crucian carp), 649 nucleotides long. RefSeq lists it as uncharacterized. Lineage: Eukaryota; Metazoa; Chordata; Actinopteri; Cypriniformes; Cyprinidae. The record is from RefSeq and is a predicted model, not a curated record. The transcript has 2 exons.